AUAAGAAUUAAACGCAAAUUUAUGAUGAUUUGUCAUACACUGAGGAGCUAGAGUUACCAUGGCAAAACAGAGAGAAGCUCUGUGGGAGCCAGUGAUGACUGCUCAACAUUCAACCCAUGAGGAUAAUGAAGAUAAAGUCAACCUCAAAAUACAUAAUCUCCAGAUAGAUUUAUUUUCAUUGCACGUAUAGGUUGAUUAUGUAGCUUUCUUCAAACACAACCUAAUAUCUACUUUCUGUGGAGAAAAAAAAUAAAUAAAAUAUCGCCAUGUAAUAAAAUGACUAC
This 284-nucleotide long non-coding RNA is filed under the name Anas platyrhynchos platyrhynchos (common mallard). RNAcentral describes it as "lncRNA (ENSAPLG00000024477.1)". The record is from RNAcentral. Lineage: Eukaryota; Metazoa; Chordata; Aves; Anseriformes; Anatidae.